Molecule: ribosomal RNA, 253 nt
Filed under: uncultured bacterium
Lineage: Bacteria
Description: partial 16S ribosomal RNA
Rfam family: Bacterial small subunit ribosomal RNA
Source: RNAcentral
UACGUAGGGGGCAAGCGUUGUCCGGAAUCAUUGGGCGUAAAGCGCGCGUAGGCGGCCCGGUAAGUCCGCUGUAAAAGUCCGGGGCUCAACCCCGGGAGGCGGGCGGAUACUGUCGGGCUAGAGUCCGGAAGAGGCGAGUGGAAUUCCUGGUGUAGCGGUGAAAUGCGCAGAUAUCAGGAGGAACACCAAUGGCGAAGGCAAUCCCCUGGACCUGUACUGACGCUCAUGCACGAAAGCGUGGGGAGCAAACAGG